Molecule: small nuclear RNA, 104 nt
Organism: Pipistrellus kuhlii (Kuhl's pipistrelle)
Lineage: Eukaryota; Metazoa; Chordata; Mammalia; Chiroptera; Vespertilionidae
Source: RefSeq, a predicted model, not a curated record
GUGCUUGCUUUGGAAGUACAUAUACUAAAAUUGGAACAAUACAGAGAUUAGCAUGGCCCCUACACAAGGAUGACACACAAAUUCAUGAAGCAUUCCAUUAAAAA